RNAcentral lists this unclassified non-coding RNA (489 nucleotides) under Hevea brasiliensis (rubber tree). Lineage: Eukaryota; Viridiplantae; Streptophyta; Magnoliopsida; Malpighiales; Euphorbiaceae. The record is from RNAcentral.
AAAAAAAACACAUAAAUAUAUACACUACACAUACCUUAAAAUUUUGGAGAGAGCCGGUACUUCAAAUGGUUGCUCAAAAUAUUAUACAGUGAAUAGUGUAGAUGCAUGAAACUAGUGCAAGAAAUGAGAGUUGGAUUGGUGUAUAUACAGCUACUAGACGCUAUUAUAUUUAGAGACUACCUGCUGGAUAGAGGACUAGCUUGACGCUACCAAUGGUAGCGUCUGAUGACAGUGCGUCAGCUGGGUGCUCCUAGCUGGUUGCCUCUUCUCUUUCGACAAGUGGUGCAGAUUUUAUACUGUUGACUGCAGCUAGACUCCACCAUGAGUAGCACCUAGCUGCCAACUCUCUUUCUCGAACAGUGUACUGUUGAGUGCAGCAAGACUCUACCAUGGGUAGCACCCAGCUGCCCUGUACUGUUAAGUGCAACAAGACUCUAAUAUGGAUAGCACCCAGCUGCAUCUGACUUUUUAUUUUUUAUUUUUUAUUUU